AUAUGCUGAAAAGAAACACUCGAAG
Molecule: non-coding RNA, 25 nt
Filed under: Drosophila melanogaster (fruit fly)
Lineage: Eukaryota; Metazoa; Arthropoda; Insecta; Diptera; Drosophilidae
Source: RNAcentral